Molecule: non-coding RNA, 248 nt
Organism: Paramisgurnus dabryanus
Lineage: Eukaryota; Metazoa; Chordata; Actinopteri; Cypriniformes; Cobitidae
Source: RefSeq, a predicted model, not a curated record
AUUCUUUUACAGAGCCUCCAAAACCAGUGACUACAGUCCAGAAUAAAUCUUUUUCCCAGAAACCCGAUGCGAUGACCUUUGACUUGAUGACAUUUAGGCUUUACAUUGCAGCCCCCUCAAUUUCCUUUAUUCUCAUUUGCAUUCUUGCUGAAGCCAUAUACGAGAAGUGUAACAGCCGACAGACUUUAGCCUCAGUUCUGGAUCCUGUGUCUGUGUCUUUGUAACUGCUAAAACCUUUCUGGAGAAGU